CCUACGGGAGGCAGCAGUGGGGAAUCUUGCGCAAUGGGGGCAACCCUGACGCAGCCAUGCCGCGUGAAUGAUGAAGGCCUUGGGGUUGUAAAGUUCUUUUGCCCGUGACGAUGAUGACGGUAACGGGAGAAUAAGCUCCGGCUAACUUCGUGCCAGCAGCCGCGGUAAUACGAAGGGGGCUAGCGUUGUUCGGAAUUACUGGGCGUAAAGCGCGCGCAGGCGGUUCGAUAAGUUAGGGGUGAAAUCCCUGGGCUCAACCCAGGAAUGGCCUUUAAGACUGUCGAGCUAGAGGACGAGAGAGGUGAGUGGAAUUCCCAGUGUAGAGGUGAAAUUCGUAGAUAUUGGGAAGAACACCGGUGGCGAAGGCGGCUCACUGGCUCGUUUCUGACGCUGAGGCGCGAAAGCGUGGGGAGCAAACAGGAUUAGAUACCCUGGUAGUCCACGCCCUAAACGAUGAGUGCCAGGUGUCGGGAAGCUUAGCUUCUCGGCGCCGCAGCUAACGCCUUAAGCACUCCGCCUGGGGAGUACGGCCGCAAGGUUAAAACUUAAAAGGAAAUUAGACGG
This 564-nucleotide ribosomal RNA is filed under the name uncultured bacterium. RNAcentral describes it as "bacterial SSU rRNA". It matches the Rfam family "Bacterial small subunit ribosomal RNA", at positions 338 to 916 of the family's 1533-position model. The record is from RNAcentral.